GGAAAAGAAAAAGUAAAGGACUAAAUUGUAAAGUUUAGUCACAUUUUGUAUCGAGUACUUAUCUAGUCACUCGGGGAUCAAAGGAAAUGUCGGAGGCCGAUCACACUAUCAAAGAAAUAACUCGGUAUAAUUAGACGUUUUGUUUUGUGUAUGGCAUGUAUAGAAACUUAGCCACUUUUGGUAUAAUAUGAACAAUGAAUGAUGUGUAAAUACUUGCUAGUGAUUAGCUAAUAAAAAUGGCCGAUGAUAUGCAUGUUUAUUAA
Gossypium arboreum is the source of this 263-nucleotide long non-coding RNA. RefSeq lists it as uncharacterized. The record is from RefSeq and is a predicted model, not a curated record. Lineage: Eukaryota; Viridiplantae; Streptophyta; Magnoliopsida; Malvales; Malvaceae. The transcript is spliced from 2 exons.